This 467-nucleotide ribosomal RNA is filed under the name uncultured bacterium. RNAcentral's name for it is "partial 16S ribosomal RNA". It matches the Rfam family "Bacterial small subunit ribosomal RNA", at positions 28 to 506 of the family's 1533-position model. The record is from RNAcentral.
GACGAACGCUGGCGGCGUGCUUAACACAUGCAAGUCGAACGGAAAGGCCCUGCUUUUGUGGGGUGCUCGAGUGGCGAACGGGUGAGUAACACGUGAGUAACCUGCCCUUGACUUUGGGAUAACUUCAGGAAACUGGGGCUAAUACCGGAUAGGAGCUCCUGCUGCAUGGUGGGGGUUGGAAAGUUUCGGCGGUUGGGGGUGGACUCGCGGCUUAUCAGCUUGUUGGUGGGGUAGUGGCUUACCAAGGCUUUGACGGGUAGCCGGCCUGAGAGGGUGACCGGCCACAUUGGGACUGAGAUACGGCCCAGACUCCUACGGGAGGCAGCAGUGGGGAAUAUUGCACAAUGGGCGGAAGCCUGAUGCAGCAACGCCGCGUGCGGGAUGACGGCCUUCGGGUUGUAAACCGCUUUCGCCUGUGACGAAGCGUGAGUGACGGUAAUGGGUAAAGAAGCACCGGCUAACUACGU